UCAACUUAAAACUACUUGAUACGUAAUAUUUUUUUAAAUACAAUUGAGUAAGAAGAAUUAUAUCUAUUCAUUUUUAAAGUUUUAGAAUCAAAUUAUAUUAGAGUUUCAAACAAGCAAAAAUUUCAAUUUUACAUUUAAGUUGAGAGACUAAAAUCAUAUUUAUUCCUAUAAAUAAAGUAUUUGAUGCCAUAAGACCCGGUUAAAGUUGAUAAGAAGAUGUAGUUAGGGUGUUGCUCCCUCCACCACUACCCCUUGCUCCCUCCACCUCCCCAUUCCUCUUUUAGUCCUCUUUCCACCUCUUUAUUCCUAUUUUAUCUUUGAGUAAAAUUUUAUUUUUAGGAUUAAU
This 346-nucleotide long non-coding RNA is filed under the name Vigna radiata. RNAcentral's name for it is "long non-coding RNA (VRAD_LNC017321)". Lineage: Eukaryota; Viridiplantae; Streptophyta; Magnoliopsida; Fabales; Fabaceae. The record is from RNAcentral.